Molecule: ribosomal RNA, 1363 nt
Filed under: Marinobacter sp. H037
Lineage: Bacteria; Pseudomonadati; Pseudomonadota; Gammaproteobacteria; Pseudomonadales; Marinobacteraceae
Description: bacterial SSU rRNA
Rfam family: Bacterial small subunit ribosomal RNA
Source: RNAcentral
CCGGGCGAGACGGUAACAGGGCGAAGCUUGCUUCCCGCUGACGAGCGGCGGACGGGUGAGUAAUGCUUAGGAAUCUGCCCAGUAGUGGGGGAUAGCCCGGGGAAACCCGGAUUAAUACCGCAUACGUCCUACGGGAGAAAGCAGGGGAUCUUCGGACCUUGCGCUAUUGGAUGAGCCUAAGUCGGAUUAGCUAGUUGGUGGGGUAAAGGCCUACCAAGGCGAUCGAUCCGUAGCUGGUCUGAGAGGAUGAUCAGCCACAUCGGGACUGAGACACGGCCCGAACUCCUACGGGAGGCAGCAGUGGGGAAUAUUGGACAAUGGGGGCAACCCUGAUGCCAGCCAUGCCGCGUGUGUGAAGAAGGCUUUCGGGUUGUAAAGCACUUUCAGUAGGGAGGAAAACCUUAUGGCUAAUACCCAUGAGGCUUGACGUUACCUACAGAAGAAGCACCGGCUAACUCCGUGCCAGCAGCCGCGGUAAUACGGAGGGUGCAAGCGUUAAUCGGAAUUACUGGGCGUAAAGCGCGCGUAGGUGGUUUGGUAAGCGAGAUGUGAAAGCCCCGGGCUUAACCUGGGAACGGCAUUUCGAACUGUCAGACUAGAGUGUGGUAGAGGGUAGUGGAAUUUCCUGUGUAGCGGUGAAAUGCGUAGAUAUAGGAAGGAACACCAGUGGCGAAGGCGGCUACCUGGACCAACACUGACACUGAGGUGCGAAAGCGUGGGGAGCAAACAGGAUUAGAUACCCUGGUAGUCCACGCCGUAAACGAUGUCAACUAGCCGUUGGGACUCUUGAAGUCUUAGUGGCGCAGCUAACGCACUAAGUUGACCGCCUGGGGAGUACGGCCGCAAGGUUAAAACUCAAAAUGAAUUGACGGGGGCCCGCACAAGCGGUGGAGCAUGUGGUUUAAUUCGACGCAACGCGAAGAACCUUACCUGGUCCUUGACAUCCAGAAGAACUUUCCAAGAGAUGGAUUGGUGCCUUUCGGGAACUCUGGAACAGGUGCUGCAAGGGCCGUCGUCAGCUUCGUGUCGUGAGAUGUUGGGAUUAAGUUCCCGUAACGAGCGCAACCCCUAUCCCUUGGCUUGCUUAGCAGGUAAUGCUGGAGAACUCCAGGGAGACUGCCGGUGACAAACCGGAGGAAGGCUGGGGAUGACGUCAGGUCAUCAUGGCCCGUUACGGACCUAGGGCUACACACGUGCUACAAUGGUCGGCGUAACAGAGGGCUGCUCAACCUCUCGCUUGAGAGGUGAGCCAAUCCCUUAAAACGCGUCGUAGUCCGGAUCGGAGUCUGCAACUCGACUCCGUGAAGUCGGAAUCGCUAGUAAUCGCGAAUCAGAAUGUCGCUGGUCAAUACGUACACCAAGA